AUACGGAGGGUGCGAGCGUUAUUCGGAAUCACUGGGCGUAAAGGGUGCGUAGGCGGUUUGAUAAGUCUGAUGUGAAAUCCUAUGGCUCAACCAUAGAACUGCAUUGGAAACUGUCAGACUAGAAUACUGAAGGGGCAGAUGGAAUUAGAGGUGUAGGGGUAAAAUCCGUAGAUAUCACUAGGAAUACCGAAAGCGAAAGCGAUCUGCUGGGAAGUUAUUGACGCUGAGGCACGAAAGCGUGGGGAGCAAACGGGAUUAGAAACCCUAGUAGUCC
RNAcentral lists this ribosomal RNA (274 nucleotides) under uncultured bacterium. RNAcentral describes it as "partial 16S ribosomal RNA". It matches the Rfam family "Bacterial small subunit ribosomal RNA", at positions 523 to 796 of the family's 1533-position model. The record is from RNAcentral.